RNAcentral lists this non-coding RNA (170 nucleotides) under Pteridomonas danica. The record is from RNAcentral. Lineage: Eukaryota; Dictyochophyceae; Pedinellales.
UCCACCGACAACUCCUCAUACUCCAACUUCACAUGAAAAACAUUUUUCUAGUUUUUCAUCACGACUUCAGAAAGUUAGCAGUCGUUUGAGAAUAGCAACCUCAUUAGCCCCAAAAAAUCCAGCAAUCGUAAUGACAUCAGAUGGUUGGUUUGAUGCUCCAAGUGUAGUUG